This 200-nucleotide unclassified non-coding RNA is filed under the name Deconica coprophila. Its description in RNAcentral is "partial internal transcribed spacer 2". The record is from RNAcentral. Lineage: Eukaryota; Fungi; Basidiomycota; Agaricomycetes; Agaricales; Kuehneromycetaceae.
AAUUCUCAACCUCUCUAGUUUUUACAAACUAGUAGAUGGCUUGGAUAUGGGGGUUUUUUGCAGGCUUUCACAAGUCAGCUCCCCUAAAAUGUAUUAGCCGGUGCCCUCUAAACCGUCUAUUGGUGUGAUAAUUAUCUACGCCGUGGACUAUUAGACUUGGUUGCAUUGCUUCUAAUCGUCCUCUGGACAAUUUUAUGACA